ACGAAAAAUUAUACUCAUUACGGACAUGAUUUAUUGUAGGAGGAAGGGAAGUUUAUACUUUCCCGCACCCUUCCUCCUCUACAGUAUGCUCCAAGAGAAAUGAUAAAUGGCGCCGUAGCUGGAGCGGCUUAGGGGUUCUUUUCGAAGAGGCUCAAUGAGGAUGGUUUUCUGUUCCUUACCGACGGCUGCUACAUACGUAUGUAUUUAUAUUCUGGAUCGGUGGAUGAUAGCUGCUGGGCGGAUGAUCAAUAUUGAAAUUCUUGGGAAUGCUUAGGAUAUUGAUGAGUUGAUCUUGCGGAAUAACACUCGGAUUUUUUUUCCCCUCAGCUUAACUCGUCUUAUGUAUUUUCACUCGGUCAACAAAUAAGCGGAAGUAGCUAGAGCUCACUGGAUUCUCUAACAACCAACAACAAUCAACAAAGCAAGUUGAUCAUUCAGCAAUAUCACAAGAUUUACAAAAACCUCUCUUUUUAUUAGUGUUGUCCCUUUUGGUAACCAUCCAUUGAUUGUGAUAGGCCUUACAGAAAGGAUGACAUAAAAUAAUACAAGAAAAGGGAAACCCUUAUCAGAAGUCAAGACAAAAUCGUCGCGUUGAAGAUGAAUUAAAGGAAUAAAAAGCAAAUACAGUCCAAAAAUAGGGCACAGAAGAAGUAUUAGGGAAA
This 662-nucleotide small RNA is filed under the name Histoplasma ohiense. RNAcentral's name for it is "hypothetical lncRNA". Lineage: Eukaryota; Fungi; Ascomycota; Eurotiomycetes; Onygenales; Ajellomycetaceae. The record is from RNAcentral.